CUAAGCCAUGCAAGUCGAACGAGUUUAGGCUCGUGGCGUACGGCUCAGUAACACGUGGAUAACCUACCCUUAGGACCGGGAUAACCUUGGGAAACUGAGGACAAUACUGGAUAGGCAAUUUUUCCUGUAAUGGUUUUUUGUUUAAAUGUUUUUUCGCCUAAGGAUGGGUCUGCGGCCGAUUAGGUAGUUGGUUAGGUAAUGGCUUACCAAGCCGUUGAUCGGUACGGGUUGUGAGAGCAAGAGCCCGGAGAUGGAACCUGAGACAAGGUUCCAGGCCCUACGGGGUGCAGCAGGCGCGAAACCUCCGCAAUGUGAGAAAUCGCGACGGGGGGAUCCCAAGUGCCAUUCUUAACGGGAUGGCUUUUCAUUAGUGUAAAAAGCUUUUGGAAUAAGAGCUGGGCAAGACCGGUGCCAGCCGCCGCGGUAACACCGGCAGCUCUAGUGGUAGCAAUUUUUAUUGGGCCUAAAGCGUCCGUAGCCGGUUUAAUAAGUCUCUGGUGAAAUCCUGUAGCUUAACUGUGGGAAUUGCUGGAGAUACUAUUAGACUUGAGACCGGGAGAGGUUAGAGGUACUCCCAGGGUAGAGGUGAAAUUCUGUAAUCCUGGGAGGACCGCCUGUUGCGAAGGCGUCUAACUGGAACGGUUCUGACGGUGAGGGACGAAAGUUAGGGGCGCGAACCGGAUUAGAUACCCGGGUAGUCCUAACUGUAAACGAUGCGGACUUGGUGUUGGGGUGGCUUUGAGCUGCUCCAGUGCCGAAGGGAAGCUGUUAAGUCCGCCGCCUGGGAAGUACGGUCGCAAGACUGAAACUUAAAGGAAUUGGCGGGGGAGCACCACAACGCGUGGAGCCUGCGGUUUAAUUGGAUUCAACGCCGGACAUCUCACCAGAGGCGACAGCUGUAUGAUAGCCAGGUUGAUGACUUUGCUUGACUAGCUGAGAGGUGGUGCAUGGCC
RNAcentral lists this ribosomal RNA (953 nucleotides) under uncultured Methanobrevibacter sp. Its description in RNAcentral is "bacterial SSU rRNA". It matches the Rfam family "Archaeal small subunit ribosomal RNA", at positions 44 to 999 of the family's 1478-position model. Lineage: Archaea; Methanobacteriati; Methanobacteriota; Methanobacteria; Methanobacteriales; Methanobacteriaceae. The record is from RNAcentral.